GAUGAACGCUGGCGGCGUGCCUAAUACAUGCAAGUCGAGCGAACGGACGAGAAGCUUGCUUCUCUGAUGUUAGCGGCGGACGGGUGAGUAACACGUGGAUAACCUACCUAUAAGACUGGGAUAACUUCGGGAAACCGUAGCUAAUACCGGAUAAUAUUUUGAACCGCAUGGUUCAAAAGUGAAAGACGGUCUUGCGGUCACUUAUAGAUGGAUCCGCGCUGCAUUAGCUAGUUGGUAAGGUAACGGCUUACCAAGGCAACGAUGCAUAGCCGACCUGAGAGGGUGAUCGGCCACCCUGGAACUGAGACACGGUCCAUACUCCUACGGGAGGCAGCAGUAGGGAAUCUUCCGCAAUGGGCGAAAGCCUGACGGAGCAACGCCGCGUGAGUGAUGAAGGUCUUCGGAUCGUAAAACUCUGUUAUUAGGGAAGAACAUAUGUGUAAGUAACUGUGCACAUCUUGACGGUACCUAAUCAGAAAGCCACGGCUAACUACGUG
RNAcentral lists this ribosomal RNA (497 nucleotides) under uncultured bacterium. RNAcentral's name for it is "partial 16S ribosomal RNA". It matches the Rfam family "Bacterial small subunit ribosomal RNA", at positions 28 to 507 of the family's 1533-position model. The record is from RNAcentral.